UGUUAAGGCUGUGGAACUGUGAGUCAAUUAAACCUUUUUCCUUUGUAAAUUACCCAGUCUCAGGCAGUUUUUAUAGCAGCUUGAGAAUGGGCUAAUAGACUAUGGUUGACCUUUUUUUCAUUUUAUACCAUAAAUGAGCAUCUGCUUUGUCACUGGGUCAGAACCCAAUUACUUUUAAAGUGUGAUAAAGGAACUUAGUGUAGGAAUAAAAGCUCACGUUCCCUUUUGUAAAAUGAAAAUCCUUUUGCAAUAGAGAUAAUUCAUUUAUUUAUUCAGGAAGCAUUUGUUUGUUUCUUUUUUAAAAAUCCUGUAGAUUCAUUAAGAAGACAAUAGAUGGCAUUUCAGUGGGGAUCCAAUCUAUGGCUGUAGUAUUGGGUGUGGCAUGAGGGGGCAGGAAUAGUCAAGUCUACAAUCUGUGAAUCUGUGAAGUCUUUGAAUGGUUGCUCAGAUAUUUAAAAGUUCAGGUGUUUGAAUCAAAUUAUAAGGCAACAAGACCCAGAACAGAAACAACAAGUGCCCAUUUACAAUCUUUGCUUGCUACCUUUUCACCUUGGUUCCAUCUACAGCUUUCCUCUUCUAACAAGACUCUAAAAUGCAUGCUGCUAGCAUGGAGUGAGCACCCGCCUGUUUCCCCGUUACUCUGUGCUGAUGGCAGACUUCCUAAUAGAGGACAACAUCUUCUAUCAUGGCAUCUCUAUCUAAGACCACCUCUACAUCCUCCCCUCCACCACCUUGUUGACAUCUA
Sapajus apella (tufted capuchin) is the source of this 745-nucleotide long non-coding RNA. RefSeq lists it as uncharacterized. NCBI's taxonomy places the organism in Eukaryota, Metazoa, Chordata, Mammalia, Primates, Cebidae. The transcript has 3 exons. The record is from RefSeq and is a predicted model, not a curated record.